This 71-nucleotide small nucleolar RNA is filed under the name Anopheles culicifacies. Lineage: Eukaryota; Metazoa; Arthropoda; Insecta; Diptera; Culicidae. The record is from RNAcentral.
AACACUUUGUGAUGAAUUUGUUACCGCCCCAGUCUGAUAUAUUAUGACUGAUAGGUUAUUAUUUUCCUGAA